This 424-nucleotide ribosomal RNA is filed under the name uncultured bacterium. Its description in RNAcentral is "bacterial SSU rRNA". It matches the Rfam family "Bacterial small subunit ribosomal RNA", at positions 354 to 796 of the family's 1533-position model. The record is from RNAcentral.
GUGGGGGAUAUUGCACAAUGGGGGAAACCCUGAUGCAGCGACGCCGCGUGAGGGAAGAAGGUUUUCGGAUUGUAAACCUCUGUCUUUAGUGACGAUAAUGACGGUAGCUAAAGAGGAAGCCACGGCUAACUACGUGCCAGCAGCCGCGGUAAUACGUAGGUGGCAAGCGUUGUCCGGAAUUACUGGGUGUAAAGGGAGCGUAGGCGGGAAGACAAGUUGAAUGUUUAAACUAUCGGCUUAACCGGUAGUCGCGUUCAAAACUGUUUUUCUUGAGUGAAGUAGAGGCAGGCGGAAUUCCUAGUGUAGCGGUGAAAUGCGUAGAUAUUAGGAGGAACACCAGUGGCGAAGGCGGCCUGCUGGGCUUUAACUGACGCUGAGGCUCGAAAGCGUGGGUAGCAAACAGGAUUAGAAACCCUAGUAGUCC